This is a long non-coding RNA of Populus trichocarpa (black cottonwood), 1276 nucleotides long. RefSeq lists it as uncharacterized. The record is from RefSeq and is a predicted model, not a curated record. The transcript has 2 exons. Lineage: Eukaryota; Viridiplantae; Streptophyta; Magnoliopsida; Malpighiales; Salicaceae.
UCAGCAGGGGAGCUGAUAAUCUGCAACAAAUCCGAUCAUGGACCACGUCUCUUGCCCACUAUCUCGUUCGUGGAUUCCAUAACAGUCCUGCAAAGGCAGGACUGGUGGAAGGGCAAGCUUCUCUAUAAAACGGAGAAGAAAACCCAGAACCAGAGGGGGAGAAUGAACCGAAAAAUUAACCCAAAAACAGAGAAAAAAAGCAGAGAAAAUUGAACAAAAAACCGGGAAUAAAGAAGCAAGCAAAACCCAGAAAAGGCCUCAGCAACAGAGGAGGAGGGGCCGAAAAUCAGAGGAGGAAACAGAACCAGAGGGGAUUGGGACGAACAGGCCAGCAACAGAGGAGGAAGGGACGAAGAUCCAAAGAUAGAAAAAGAGGGCAUAGAACACAGCAAAAAAAGUCAAAUAUACAGGGGCAGAGCAGGAACCGAAACAGCAAAACUGGGGAAAGAACCGGCAGAUCACAGAGCCGAACAGAGACUAAAACCUGGGGAAACAGAGGGGAAGAGACAGAACCAGGAGGGGCUAAAACUGAACCCAGAAAAACAGAGUCAAGAACCAAUAAAACGCAAGCCACAAAUAGAGCAAAAAAGGAGACCCAAUUUCGAAAGGAGAAGCCAGCACUGUACACUUUUCUUCAUCACAAGGACUGAAAGGGCACUGGACUGGAGAAAAGAAGACCACGAACAAAAACAGAGAGAAGAGGUUUUUCCAGACUCAAAGCAGUAACACAGGGGAGAUAAACAAAUAGACAAAAAAAAGAAGAAGAGGAAAGAAAGCAGAGACGAACAAAGGGGAGCUGGGAAAACAGAGGAAAAAAGAAGAACGACCCAGAGUCAAAAUCCCCUGCAGCCAUUUUGAUCGUCUCCAGAAGCAGAGAGAAGGAACAAUAGAGGAAGAACUUAAGAAGGGAAUAGCACCAACCGCCCUUAACUUCGUCUUCAUCUUCAGGAGCAGCAGCCCACAGUGGUAGAAGACAUCUAUAGACGAAGACAGCCAUUUCUCUCCAUGGAUGCUAUAUAUACUUCAUCCAACCAACAAAAGAGAAGUAAUAUAUUUUUCUCUGCAGAUAUAUACAGACAAGGUUCUUCUGUGCAGUGAAGCCAAUGUAUGAGAGACCUAUGACCCUGACUUUCUCUUAAAAUAUAUAUAUAUUUUAAAGUUAAUACGGGUUUUUGGAUCGGUUUAUGUAUAUUUUAAUUAAUUCUAUUUUAUAAGCUUUAAAGUAAAUAAUCAUGUGAAUUCAACUUAUAAUUAUUAAAAAAACAAAUUUAAAAUC